AUUGAACGCUGGCGGCAGGCUUAACACAUGCAAGUCGAGCGGGGUGAUGGUGCUUGCACUAUCACUUAGCGGCGGACGGGUGAGUAAUGCUUAGGAAUCUGCCUAUUAGUGGGGGACAACAACUCGAAAGGGAUGCUAAUACCGCAUACGUCCUACGGGAGAAAGCAGGGGAUCACUUGUGACCUUGCGCUAAUAGAUGAGCCUAAGUCGGAUUAGCUAGUUGGUGGGGUAAAGGCCUACCAAGGCGACGAUCUGUAGCGGGUCUGAGAGGAUGAUCCGCCACACUGGGACUGAGACACGGCCCAGACUCCUACGGGAUGCAGCAGUGGGGAAUAUUGGACAAUGGGGGGAACCGUGAUCCAGCCAUGCCGCGUGGGUGAAGAAGGCCUUAUGGUUGUAUAGCACUUUAAGCGAGGAGGAGGCUCUUUUGGUUAAUACCCAAGAUGAGUGGACGUUACUCGCAGAAUAAGCACCGGCUAACUCUGUGCCAGCCGCCGCGGUAA
This 503-nucleotide ribosomal RNA is filed under the name uncultured bacterium. Its description in RNAcentral is "partial 16S ribosomal RNA". It matches the Rfam family "Bacterial small subunit ribosomal RNA", at positions 30 to 523 of the family's 1533-position model. The record is from RNAcentral.